Molecule: ribosomal RNA, 405 nt
Filed under: uncultured bacterium
Lineage: Bacteria
Description: partial 16S ribosomal RNA
Rfam family: Bacterial small subunit ribosomal RNA
Source: RNAcentral
AUUGAACGCUAGCGGGAUGCUUUACACAUGCAAGUCGAACGCGUGGCGGACGGGUGUGUAAUAUAUCGGAACGUGUCCAGUAGCGGGGGAUAACUACUCGAAAGAGUGUAUUAUCCCGCAAUCUAUUGUCGCGGCAGAUAUGGGAUUAGCUAGGGGGGGGGGUAAAGGCUCACCAAGGCAACGAUCCGUAGCGGGUUUGAGAGGACGACCAGCCACACUGGGAAGGGUACACGGCCCAGACUCCUACGGGAGGCAGCAGUGGGGAAUAUUGGACAAUGGGGGAAACCCUGAUCCAGCCAUCCCGCGUGUAUGAGAAGGCCUUCGGGUUGUAAAGUACUUUUGGCAGAGAAGCGGUAUCUGCAGAAUAAGCACCGGCUAACGACGUGCCAGCAGCCGCGGUAAUAC